RNAcentral lists this ribosomal RNA (966 nucleotides) under Triticum aestivum (bread wheat). RNAcentral describes it as "partial small subunit ribosomal RNA". Lineage: Eukaryota; Viridiplantae; Streptophyta; Magnoliopsida; Poales; Poaceae. The record is from RNAcentral.
AUGUCGACGUACAGCCCGCCGGUGGGGCCUGGCGAUGUCGCUUUCUGGUGGAGGGUGGCCAUGGACGUGUUGCAGGCGUUGGGGUGGCGCGAGCUCGGAUGUACUCAGUCUGUCAUCAAAGCAAUUGUUGUCAAAAGGCAAACUAUUCCUGAUAUAGGCAAUGAUGAUGAAGUGCCAAUAUCAGGAAGAAAGCGACAUGUACAACAGAGAUUAGGAAAUAAUGUGGUUGUUUCUGAUUCGUAUAGGAGUCGACAUAGUAAUAAAAGGUGCAGGAGGUACCAUGCAAGCAAGCAGGGCGACCAGGAUCAUGCUGCAGGGGCUGGGUAUUACUCUCUUCGUCUCUCUAUUACCUUGCCUCCCCACUCAUGCUUUCAAUUUGCUCUUUCGCUUGGUAAGUCCUCUUUGGACCCUUCCACUUCGUCGGGCUCACCAUUGGAGACUCGGACGCCAGAAUCGGCACCGCUGCUGUGUCUGUUGGUGACGCUCACACAAGAUCCAAAGGCAGCACCUUGGCCAUCUCCCUGCGAACAUCUGACAAUAGCAGUAUUUUCACAACUAGGGAAUGGAAAAGAAUAUGGACGUGGUCAUCAGAUCGAGCCAGAAGAAGGAAAAUGUACAAUGAACCAGAAUGUACCAUGUCGAGUGGGAACAAUUGACGAGACGCCAACGUUCUGGUUUCGAACCCCUCAACUCCAGUUUAUCCCCUACAUCGCGCCUUCUGUCCUGGACAUCCCCGGCUUCUAUGAUGAGCAACUGCUCGAGCAGGCGAUGAUGAAGGCGAGUGUUGGCUCGGUGGGUGCGGUGGAGGGCGAUGAGGAUGCCAGUGUGGACGUGAAGGCGGACGAAUUCAUCGCAAAAGAAAAAGAUAAUGGAAAGGGCGGCUGUCUAUCUGGCACCGCAGCAGCACGUCUCAGGAGGCGCGCCAUGGGCGCGCCCCAACCCCCAGUGCCAUCCAUUUGUGGUUGA